CUUUUAUGAAACUCUGCCAGACUCUUCUCUCGUACCUUCUCCCACAGUGGUGCUGAUCGGACACAUUUAUUUUGUGAAUAUCUGGGAUGCCCCUCUCAUGUUUGAUUGAAAAGUCAAAACCAAGGUCUGCCUAGAGUAGUUUCAGCUACUGCCCCUCAGAGCCACUGCUGGAGUGAUUUUUGCCUGACCUUAUGCCUGGAGGAGGAGGCUAAUUUUCUGGAUCUGAUUUUUCCCAAUGACAAUUGAAGCAACAUGCUUUGAAGUCUUCCUACAAGAAAUAGUCCAGCAUAUGUGCCUGUUUCCACUCCAUUUCUCUCUUACCCACUUGAGGACAGUUUGAAUCAUUUUUUAAAGACCUCAGUACUAGACUGUGUUUUAGGUGCAGGUGAUAGAGUACCUGGAUCUGGGAACUUGAGCCAUGGAAAUUCUGGAACUGGGAUUCUAGGCUGGAUAUUGCUGCCAGUUCAGGAAGGAAACUCUGAGAAGCUGGGGUACCUGGAUGGAAGGCCAGGGGAGUUUAGACUUGGAAGUUGGAAGGAACUGAGCUAAACUGUGAAUCUAAUCUCUCCUCCCCAG
RNAcentral lists this long non-coding RNA (576 nucleotides) under Monodelphis domestica (gray short-tailed opossum). RNAcentral's name for it is "lncRNA (ENSMODG00000049154.1)". The record is from RNAcentral. Lineage: Eukaryota; Metazoa; Chordata; Mammalia; Didelphimorphia; Didelphidae.